Molecule: non-coding RNA, 1369 nt
Organism: Prunus avium (sweet cherry)
Lineage: Eukaryota; Viridiplantae; Streptophyta; Magnoliopsida; Rosales; Rosaceae
Source: RefSeq, a predicted model, not a curated record
AGCAAUUAGACAAUAGGAUUAGAUGUUGGGAUGUUGGCAAUUCAUUGGGGGCCAGAUUUUUCAAGGGAGGCUAGGAUAAUUUACCCAAAGUAAAACCAAAUGCAAGCAAAGCACUUACAGUUUACAGCUACAAAGAGAUGAGGUAAUUUCAAAGGCAUAAGAAUAAGUAAUAUUGUAAUAAUAUUAGAAAAUAAAAAAUCUAAAUUUUAAUUGAAGAAAAAUAAUGAUCCUAUUAAGAAACAAAGAUCAGCUCCACAUGCACCACGACCACAAGAGGCACCACGACAACAAGAUCACCAAUUUGAGCACCCAUGUGAUCAGCCGCCAUUGCAGUCACCACAUCCACAUCAGGAGUCUACAUCUGCCUCGCUAGCAACUCCUCACACAGGCCAGGGCGAUUGUUUAGAGACUUUGUCAAAGCAUAGGAACACUUGUGGUCCAACUGUGGGGCUUGGAAAAUAGAGGAGUGGCACUGGUUAGUCGUUGAUAACUUGUACACAAAUGAGAAAUACCAGAAAAGGUGCAAAGACAAUGCUGAUAACAGAAAAAAGAAAGAAUAUGAACACAUAGAAGGUUCAAACCCUUUCCUGAAACAUAAGGAAGCAGCCGAGAAGAAGAAAAUGAAAGUAGCAAUGGCAAUGUACAUUCAGCAGGGGUCUGUGACUUCAAGCAACGCUUCUGAAUAGAUCUCAGUUUCAGACAUGCACCAAUUUGGGAUUAUGAAUAAAGAACUUAGGAUUGGAUUGGGCUCGAAUCUUCGAGUGGAGACUAGUUCUCGCUCUACAAGUAGAUACGGCAAAAACUCUAUGACUGAAGAUGAUAGAUACAAUAAGCUCUCAUAAACUGUGGAGAAACUUUAUGACAUCGUUAAGCAGCUACAAGCUGGGAUUAAUGAUAGAUCUAGAAAGCGUAAACACAACAGUAAGUGCAAUGGUAAGGGACCUUGGCUCCAACAAGAUUCUUCUUAUUUUGAUGAUUCUACAACUGAUCACAGUGACAACUUACAAGGUGGUGGUGAUGGUGUGUAUAUUGGUCUUGAAGAUAUUGUUCAUGGUCAUUAGGUAGGUUUUAGACCUUUUGGUUGUUUUGGGUAUGGAUGAUCUUGGUGAUUUUGUGACUUUGAUGGACUCAAAUCCUACAAUCUGACUUAGGUAUGUGGUUUUUGUUUCAAAUCCAAGAUAUGUGUGAUCAAUAAUAUGAUCAAGAAUAUGACUUAGGUAUGUGGUCAGAUUCACCAUACUUCUGACUAUAAGUGUGAUUGUGAUCACACACGUUGCUCAUCCAUAUAUUAAGUAGAAUAUAGACUUAGCUGAAAUUUUAUAUAGGCUUUGGUUUGAAUGGAUGCAUAUGUUUCUGUUGCUUGUGGCAA